AGUGAACGCUGGCGGUAGGCCUAACACAUGCCAGUCGAACGGCAGCACAGUAAGAGCUUGCUCUUACGGGUGGCGAGUGGCGGACGGGUGAGGAAUACAUCGGAAUCUACUUUUUCGUGGGGGAUAACGUAGGGAAACUUACGCUAAUACCGCAUACGACCUACGGGUGAAAGCAGGGGAUCUUCGGACCUUGCGCGAUUGAAUUAGCCGAUGUCGGAUUAGCUAGUUGGCGGGGUAAAGGCCCACCAAGGCGACGAUCCGUAGCUGGUCUGAGAGGAUGAUCAGCCACACUGGAACUGAGACACGGUCCAGACUCCUACGGGAGGCAGCAGUAGGGAAUAUUGGACAAUGGGCGCAAGCCUGAUCCAGCCAUACCGCGUGGGUGAAGAAGGCCUUCGGGUUGUAAAGCCCUUUUGUUGGGAAAGAAAAGCAGCAGGUUAAUACCCCGCUGUUCUGACGGUACCCAAAGAAUAAGCACCGGCUAACUUCGUG
Molecule: ribosomal RNA, 492 nt
Filed under: uncultured bacterium
Lineage: Bacteria
Description: partial 16S ribosomal RNA
Rfam family: Bacterial small subunit ribosomal RNA
Source: RNAcentral